CAGCUAUAUCACAUUGAAAGAUCAGUUUUCAUCUCAUCACCGAAGUUAAGCAACACUGAGUCUGAUCAGUACCUAGAUGGGUGACCACUCGGGGAUACCAGGAGCUGUAAG
Molecule: non-coding RNA, 111 nt
Organism: Acanthosepion pharaonis
Lineage: Eukaryota; Metazoa; Mollusca; Cephalopoda; Sepiida; Sepiidae
Source: the annotation of a GenBank genome assembly